Molecule: RNA transcript, 3351 nt
Organism: Strigops habroptila (Kakapo)
Lineage: Eukaryota; Metazoa; Chordata; Aves; Psittaciformes; Psittacidae
Gene: DZIP1
Gene name: DAZ interacting zinc finger protein 1
Exons: 21
Source: RefSeq, a predicted model, not a curated record
ACUUCAGCAAAACACGGGUGGAGGAGCCCUCAGCGCCCGCGCCGCUCCGCGCCGCUCCGCCGCAGACCCCGCUUACCCACCCUCCGCGGCCCCGGGGGACGGGACGGGACGGGACGAGGGAGGCGAGGCGGGAGCUGGCUCGCUCCGCGGCACGCUCCGUUAACGGCCCGAGUUCGGAGCGGGGGUCGGCUGCAGCCGCAGCACGCCUCCGCGGCAGCCCGAGGCCGAGGCUGCUAUAGCAACGCGGAGGACGCCGGCGCCGAGCGGAGCCUGAAGGACGGAGCCCGAAGGACGGAUCCCGGCCAUGCCCUUCACCGAGCGCGCCUACUACCCGCCGGCUGCGGGGGGAGCCGGGGCCGGCGCGGGGUCGGCGCCGUUUCCCGCCUUCCAGUUCCGCGAGCGCCAUGAGGGCCCGGACUGGCGGCGGCUGAGCGCCGUGGACGUGUGCCGGGUGUCGUGGGAGGGGGACGUGGCGGCCCUGCAGGAGCACCUGGAGCACGUCACCUUCUGCAGCGCCGAGCGGGAGCGCUGCCCGCACUGCCAGGGCCCCGCCGACCCGCUGCUGCUGAAGCUGCUGCGCCUGGCCCAGCUCUGCACCGAGUACCUGCUGCACUCCCAGGAGUACCUCAGCGCCCAGCUCGGCAGCCUCGAGGAGGCCCUGCGCGCCGCCCUGGCCCAGCGCGACCAGCUGGGCAAGGAGGUGACCCAGCGCUCGCAGGAGAUCAAGGCGCUCAAGGAGGAGUGCCGGCGGAGGAAGAAGAUGAUCAGCACCCAGCAGAUGAUGCUGGAGGCCCGAGCCAGCUACCACCAGUGUCAGCUUUGUGAAAAGGCUUUUAUGAACUAUUCAUUUUUACAAAGUCACAUGCAAAGACGUCAUCCAGAAGAAUCUCAAAUUGAGCAGAAGAGGAAAGCAAAGACAGACAAAUUGCAGGAUGAGAUUGAUAAACUGAAGGAGCAGUUGCAGCUCACCAAGUCCCAGUUAGAGGCUGAACAGCAGGCUAACAUGGUCAGGUUUUCUAAGGAAUGUGAACAGCAAAAAUCAAAAGAAGAAGAAAUUCUGCAAUCAUUUCAUAAAUGGAAAGAGGAGGAAAAAGAGAAAUUGGCUGAUGAAAUAGAAAAAGUGAAAGAGAUGUUUAUGAAAGAGCUUAAGGAGUUAUCGUCAAGAAAUUCAGCAUUAGAAAAUCAACUGGUAGAAUUACAAAAGUCGAAUAUGCCACAAAAAUCCAAUUUAGGGACACUGAAAGACAGCCAGGACUUUACAGAAGAGGAACCUCAGAGUCCUCAGGAUUACCGCGACGUGGUCAAACUUCUUGAAAAGCAGGAAAGUAAGUGGACAUCUAGAAUACAAGCCUUGAAUCAUGACCAUGAGACAGAAAAGUCUCUCCUACUGUCACAGAUUGAGAAGCUUAAAUUAUCAGUGAGAGAAGACCUGAAUAAAAAUAAUGCCUUUUACAAGAGGAGGAUAGAAGAAUUGGGGCAGAGGCUUCAGGAACAGAAUGAUCUGGUUAUUACUCAGAAGAAGCAGAUAAAAGAAUUGUCCACAAGAUCAAUUGCAAACAUUAAACCAUAUGAUGUGAACACCACUGUAGAGCAUCUUCAAGAAUCUAAACCAAGUCUACAAGUGAUGCAUGAGCAGGCACCCUUGGUGCAUAUGCUGGAGCCCAUAGAGGAGCUUUCAGAAGAGGAAAAAGAAACUGAGAGAGUUGAUCGUAAAACAGGUAGAAGUAACCAGUAUUUAUUAAAUGCUUUGAAGACUGAUCCUUCUUUAACUAAAAAAUUACGAGUGUUUUUGGAGCAAGCCUUGGAGGAGAAGCUGGAAUCUUUGGGAAUUAAAGCAGGUGUCCGUGGUAUACCAAAUGAUCGCUUAAAUAAAAUUUUGCAUGCUAUUGAAUCUGCUAGAGAAUGCAAACAGAAGCAAGAGCCUGACUUUCACCGAAUUCGAGAGCAUCUUGAACGCCAAGUCAGCUUUAGGGCUGAAGAGAAAUCAUUGUCUUGUAAUAGACCUGUUUCCUGUCCUCAGCUUCCUUCAGAAGAUAAACAGAGGCACAAUCAACUGGGAAUUUCCUCAACUGCCACACCACGAAAACGAGUAAAACGCUCUUCAACAGCUGUCCGUCCAUCCGAACAAAGAACAGCCAUCACUGAGAAUACAUCUACACCCAAAUCCACGAAGCUUUUGGGAAAUGGAGCUGCCAGGAAGACAUCUAGCAACACAACUCCACCAUUCAGUUCAGAAGAAGAAGUGGAUGAAGAUGAUAUUAAACAGUCUUACAUAUCACCAGAAUUAUUGCAAAAACAGUCAAAAACAUCAAACAGCAAAGUCAGUGUUCUUCAGAAGGCUUCUGGCAAAAGCAGUAUGGAUGGGACAGAGGAAAGCGAAAUUGAUGAAACUGAAACACCUGCCAAAACUUCAAAAGGAACAGUUAUUCAAAAGCUGACUGAACAAGUUGGAAAGAGUCUUUCUAACCAUGGAAAUAAGAGCAAACCAGCUGGAGGGGUUAAUGUUGCACAGGCAUUUAUAAAGAAAGAAGAGGUGAAAGAACUGAAGCCCCUGAAUCUCAAGGCAGGGAUUGGGGGGAUGAAGUCCCUCCCAUCAUUGGAGAAGAUCAGGUUUGAGACCACUAGAGGAAUCUGAACGUCCAUGGGACCGAACAAGAUACUGCCCAGGGUUCUAAAUUGGCUGAUGUAGUUGCCAAGCCACUCUCCAUAUUUGAAAAGUCAUGGCAUUCAGGUGAAGUCCCUGACUGGAAAAAAGGGAACCCGCAAACCCAUUUUGAAAAAGGAGUAAAAAGGAUCACCGUGGAAGAACCAGCUGCUCUGCCUCACCUCUGUGCCUGGUCAGAUGGUGGAACAGAUCCUCCUGGAAGACAUGUUGAAACACACAGAAGACUAGAAGGUGAUUGGAGACAGCCAACAUGCCUUCACCAAGGGCAAAUUUUGCCUGGCUAAUCUGGUGGCCUUCUACGAUGGAGUGACUGCAUCAGUGGACAAGGGAAGAGCUAUGGAUGUCAUCUUCCUGAACUCUUUCACAGAAGUUGAAGAAGAUGAUUGGGAUAUAUCAUCAGUAGAAGACGACUUUUUAUUGAUGAAAGACAAUACAGGUCAGAAGGCAUUGACAGUUCAGAAAAAUGAGUCAAACGCUGCAUCUUCAGUACAUGCAUGGUGUGUUCCGAAGACAAGUGUACCAAAGGAGGAAGGCCUUCAUGAAGCUGAUAACACAAGCACAUUAAAAAGCAGCUUAGUCACUGUAACAGAUUGGAGUGAUUCUUCAGAUGUAUAAUAGCUGUGUUCCUGGUGGGAGGCACUGCUUUUGGGUUCAGUUGGAGUUGAAAAUACAGCUGAAAACACAAA